ACUUCGCUAGUUGCAUUAUAACAUGAUGAUUUAUAUAUCUAUAGAUGUUUUUGGACUAACAUUAUUGCAGUGCCUCCUUGGACCUAUUGGUCAAGCUCUUCCCUUGGGUAGCCGUACCCACUGAGAACUAUUGAAUUGGUUCUCACCCCACGUUAUUUUGGGGUGUUACAGGUUCGAAUAUGAGCGGCGCGUGUCACGCCCCGGAUUACACGUUUUCCGGGCACGCCGACAAAUCCGCCGUAUACAAAGAAAUUUCUCCUGUAUACGAAGCGAUAGCUUUACCUGUAAAUCAUACAAUACUACAAACAGUAGUAUAGAGCUGCUAGAAGAACCAGAAAUAAAACAAACCGAGUUUCAUAUACAUACGCCAAAAUCCAAGAUAUAAAACUACUCACACUGGCGAGUUAAAUAUGUAUGUACAUGAACUCCAACAAAAAUAACUACCUGCUGUAGGGGCACCUCUAGCUCGGCUCGUCGGGUAGGGCUCUAACUCGCGACGCCCUUGCCUCGAUCCUGAUCAGCAACAGCAGCAGCCGAAGACGAAGGCUCUGCAAAAACGGGGUAACAACAGGGCGUGAGAGCUACUGUAAAACAAGUAGUCCUCAAUGGGUGCCGCCCUCAACAUCAUCGGUCCACCCACUAAGUCUACAGAAGGGAGCAAAGGUAAUAAUAAAUGCCGAAAUAAAAUCUAUAGCUACCAUUUAUUACUCUAUCAUGCUCUAAGCUAACCUACUGUAGAAAUAUCAAUUCUGACCUAAUCUCUUUAGGGACUGUAAACAUACCCGUCCCAGGGACUGUGAACACAAUCGUCCCGCCCAGUUGAGACUAUCCAGCUACCUCCACACUAACCAGUCCGUGGAGAGCAAGUCUAACCGGCAUGCAUGACACCAACGCAAAAGCACAGCGCCCGCCUCCGGAGUGGCACUCGGGGGAGCUACCCAACCGAGUAUGCAGCGUAUCUCUGUCAAGCUCAAUCAGGCUCUCUCAAGCCAAAGUCCAAGUAACCAACACUAACUGGUCAAACAACUCACAGUCACGUGCCCUCGGAACAAUCCGACGCCAAAAAGGCGAUAGGGGUCCACCAUCAACCCCGACGACACCCAACAGUCCGGAACAGUCUGAACGCUACUGUAAAAAUACACUCAGCAUCCUAGCACGAGCGUAACAGAAAACUAAACUGCCUGGGGUAUCCGUCGCCUCGAUACUGCGAUGAUACAAAAUUAUAACGGCUCCUAGAGCUAAAUUAGGUAGUUUAGACAGGUGAUAGGUCCAAAACGCUGGUUUUCUUCUAAGUCAAAUUCCAAGUCCAACAUGUAUAUUUAUGGUUUGCCAUUCAUAUCCUCAAUGUUGAUUUCAUUCAUGAUACAAUCAACAAAAUGAACUAUAAUAUGAUUUACAAAAUUGAAAAUCAUACAUGUCGACUAAUACUGUGCUUAGGAAUAAACCGAUGUAACCCACCUCAAAAGCUAAACCCUGGCAGUGAAGGAGGUCACCGGAGUCCCUACCAAGCUCGGUGCAACCCAACGAACCAGCGAUAACAACACUCCACGGAUCUAGACAUAGAAACCCAUAAUAAGCAUCAAUUCUGCCCAAAACAACAGCAGCAGAGUGGAACAGGGUUUUGACCAAGCUAACCUUCACCAAAAUCGACAAUCUUGGGCUUCAUGGAUUUCUCUCGAAGUCCUGAAUCCAACGAACCAAGUCACGCUGCAAUCCGACGCUCCUAUGUCGCGUACGAGCCGAAACGCCAACGGUCGACGCAGAAAAUCUGUAAAAUAGCACCCUUGAGCUCGGAAGUGAUGAAGACUUGCUAUGGUUGGAGAAAUUGAUGAACAUCUCACCUCAACAGGGACUCUAGCACUGGCGCGACAUCAAAAACGGUGAAAACGCACCCUCAUCCGGCCUCCUCGCGAUGCUACAGCAACAAACGCGCACUCAAACGGCUCCGCGGCACGACGUCGGCGACAAAAUACUCCACCCGAGCUCCUCCACGAUUGGUCGAGUACAAGGAGAACAGAGAAAGAGUGCAAACAUCCUCUCCUCUCUGUCCUCUCAAUCCUAUAUAGGGGAGAGAGAUGGUGAUACAACCAAGGCAAGAUAAUUACCAAAUUACCCCCUACCUACCCUGGUGUACUGGUACACGGGUCCGUGUACCGGUACUAGAUGCCAACCCGAGAGCAGUCUGCGCGCAGCCUGUGCAGUGUACCGGUACACCGUGAUGGCUGUACCGGUACAGCAAGCAGAAAAUAGCUAUUUGUAGAUUUUCUUGCUAAAUGCUGCUCUCGUGUCACACAGAGUCCGUUUUGUGUCUAUUUCUCGCCAACGCGACUCAGAUUUGUCCCGACACUCUCUAGAACUGUCGACAAUCCUUUACCGCCAAACACCAGGGAUCUCACACUCUCCCCUACUACAAAAAGUUUCGUCCGCGAAACUUAAGCAUAUCUCAGCUCAGGGCAUCGAACAGGUAGGGAUAGGACUCCCUUAUCACUAUCUCAGGCUCCCAAGUCGCCUCCCGCUCAUCGUGAUUACUCCACUACACCUUCACAUACGGGAUAACCCGGUUGCGCAAUUCUUUCGUCUCCUAAGCAAGAAUCCGCAACGGUCGCUCCUUGUAACUCAAAUCCUCGCCAAUCUCGAGUGUAGUGAAGUCAAUCACGUGAGAAGGAUUGAAAACAUAUCUCCUCAAUGCCGAGACGUGGAAGACAUCGUGAAUGCCAGCUAGUUGCGCGGGUAGAGCGAUCUUGUAAGCUACUGGUGCCACUCGCUCCAAUACCUCAAAAGGGCCAACGAAACGUGGACUGAGCUUUCCACGUACUCCAAAUCGGCGAAUCCCUCUGGACGACGAGACUUUGAGGAAUACAUGAUCUCCAACCUGAAACUCUAAGUCUCGUCUCCUGGUAUUGGCGUAACUCCUCUGGCGGCUCUAGGCUGUCAAAAGGUGUCGUCGAACUACUCUCACCUUUUCCUCAGCUUCUAGCAAAAUCUCAGGCCGAAGCGUCUUCCUUUCACCCACAUCACUCCAACACAAAGGGGAUCGACAUCUGCGUCCAUACAAUGCCUCAAACGGAGCCAUCUUUAUGCUCGCUUGAUAGCUGUUGUUGUACGCAAACUCAGCCAGUCUCAAAUGUCGAUACCACCCUCCUCCAAAAUCCAGAAUGCAUGCUCUCAGCAUGUCCUCAAGAGUCUGAAUGGUCCGCUCGAACUGACCAUCUGACUGUGGGUGAAACGCUGUGCUGAACUGUAACUAUGUACCCGAGGCUGUCUGCAAACUCCUCCAGAAGUGUGACACAAACCUCGGAUCCCUAUCAGAUACGAUCGAAAUCGGCACACCAUGCAGCCUAACAAUCUCAUCCAGAUAUAGCUGUGCAAGUCUCUCUCUGGACCAGGUGGUCUGAACCGGUAAGAAGUGAGCAGACUUGGUCAGUCUGUCUACUAUCAUCCAAAUCGCGUCGUAGCCACCCUGCGCUCUAGGCAAUCCCAUGACGAAAUCCAUCGUGAUCUGCUCCCAUUUUUACUCGGGUACUAGCAGACUCUGAAGCUUGCCAGCAGGUACCUGAUGCUCGGCCUUUACCUAUUGAUAAGUCAGACACUGAGCCACAAAUCUGCCAAUGUCCCUCUUCAUUCCAUUCCAUCAAAACUGGGCCCUCAAGUCCUUAUACAUCUUGGUUCCACCUGGGUGAACCGUAUAAGGGGAACAAUGAGCCUCUCUCAAAAUGUCCUCUCGGAUCCCUGAAUCCGCAGGUACACACAGUCGGUCCCUGUACCGUAGUACUCCCAAACUGUUUAUAGAAAAGCCCUCAGCCUGUCCUUGGUCUAGAUGCUCUCGAAUUCUCAACAAGUACGGAUCUCCACUCUGUUUCUCUCGGAUCCUAUCCAACAGAGUGGGCUGCAAGACCAGAGACAUCAGUCUCGCAAUAGACCCAGGGGACACAAUCUCGAAUAUCAACCGCUGUAGCUCCUCGAGUAACGGCCUCUGCUGUGUGAUCAUCAAACUCAGGCUCUGCACUGCCUUCCUGCUCAACGCAUCUGCCACAACGUUCGCCUUGCCGGGAUGAUACUGAAUACUAAUGUCAUAAUCCUUCAGUAACUCCAACCACCGGCGCUGCCUCAGAUUCAACUCCUUUUAGGUGAACAGAUACUUGAGACUUUUAUGAUCAGUAAAAAUCUCGUAGUGCUUGCCGUACAAGUAAUGCCGCCACAACUUUAACGCAAAGACUACCACGGCAAGCUCCAAGUCAUGCGUAGGGUAAUUCUUCUCAUAAUCCUUUAACUGCCGUGAAGCAUAAGCAAUUACCCUACCAUGCUGCAUCAGCACACAACCCAGUCCACUGUGCGACGCAUCACUAUAGAUCACAAAUCCUUCCCCCAUCACAGGAAGGGCAAGGAUAGGAGCUGACGUUAACCUCUGUCUCAACUCAUCAAAACUCCUCUGACAAUUCUCACUCCAGAUGAAUCUAAUCCCCUUGUGCGUCAAUCGAGUGAGGGGUGUGGAAAGCUUCGCAAAGCCUUCCACAAACCGACGGUAAUAUCCUGCUAGUCUAAGGAAACUCCUCACCUCUGUUACCGUCGUCUGUCUGGGCCAAUCCCGAAUCGCAUCAAUCUUCUUCGGGUCGACUGCUACUCCCUCUACUGAUAUCACGUGGCCCAGAAAGCGACCUCCCGUAAUCAGAACUCGCACUUCUUUAACUUGGCAUACAACUUCUUCUCUCUCAGAAGCUGUAGCAUAGUCCUCAAGUGCUCCUCGUGCUCGACAUCGCUCCGGGAGUAUAUCAAGAUAUCAUCUAUGAAGACUACCACAAAUCUAUCUAAGAACGGCUUGAACACUCUGUUCAUCAAAUCCAUGAAUGCGGCAGGGGCAUUCGUCAAUCCGGAAGGCAUCACCGUAAACUCAUAAUGCCCGUACCGAGUCCGAAAAGCCGUCUUGGGAACAAUCUCGGCCCUCACCCUCAACUGGUGGUAACCUGACUGGAGAUCAAUCUUCGAGAAAACAUAAGAACCUUGCAACUGAUCAAACAGAUCAUCAAUGCGUGGCAAAGGAUACAUGUUCUUGAUGGUCAUUUUAUUCAGCUCCCGGUAAUCUACGCACAGCCUGAGCGAACCAUCCUUCUUCUUUACAAACAACACCGGUGCUCCCUAAGGUGACACACUGGGUCUCACAUACCACUUAUCCAUCAAAUCCUGCAGCUGCGCCUUUAGCUCUCUCAGCUCCGCCGGUGCCAUCCAAUAAGGUACCUUUGAGAUUAGUGCAGUUCCAGGAACUACAUCAAUCACAAACUCAAUCUCUCUCUCCGGCGGCAUCGUCGUCAACUCACGGGAAAACACAUCUAGAAACUCGCGAACUACAGAAAUAUCCUCGAGUCCCAGCGCCGCUGUAGGUACCUCAACAACAGUCGCAAGAAAGGCAACACAUCCUCUACUCAUCAGCUGUCGAGCCCUCGCCGAAGAUAUCCAAGUGGCAAACAGUGUACUCCUGCAGCCUCUAAAAGUAAACUCCUCCUGGCCUGGCUCGUGGAACGUCACUGUCCUCACUCCACAAUCGAUAGUAGCAUAGUAGCGCGCCAGCCAAUCCAUACCGAGCACAACGUCGAAGUCCUGCAGCUGCCCUAACACCAACAGGUCUGCGGGCAUGAUCCACGAGUCUAACUGCACCGGACACGACCAACAACACUUUGCAACCUGUAAAACAUGGUCCGGGAUCUGCAUCUCUCAUGCCUGUGAUAAUACUCCUAACUCUAGACCAUGCAACAAUACAAAUGCUCGACUAACAAAAGAAUGCGAGGCACCGGUAUAAAAAAAAGUACGAGCUCUAAUACCAGAAAUCAAAGUGAUACCUGCCACCACUCAGUGCUCUGCAAAGAGUCCUCCACCUGGGCUGCAUAGACCCUGCCGCUUCGAGCCUACUGUCGCCGCUCGCUCUGACGCGGCAUAGACGAUCUGUCUUCCUGGGGGAAACUCGGAGCUGCUCCAAAAGAAGGCUGAGAUGCCGGCUGCGCUGAUACAGUGGAUGGUGCUGGUGCUGCACGGGGACAAGCUGACCUCAUAUGUCCGGGCUGACCGCAACCAUAACACCUGCCCUCUCUCUGCUCGCACUGCCAUGGCCAGUGUGGUCCCCCGCAGAUCAUACACUGCGGUAUCCUCUGAGUCUGUCCCUGCUGACGGGAUCCCUUGGAACACUGACGUCCCGAAAGGCCACGACCCAAAGAGCGUGAUCGGGGAGGCCUUGGCGGACGCCUGCUGCUCGACUGUCUAGCAUCAUCUGAAAAUGGGCGCUUCCUGUCCUGACUCUACCCCACGGCCUGAGUCCUCUCAUGCAGUGACACCUCACCUCUCUCCACCCACAAGACCUGCUCUAUUGACGCAUCCAGAGUCCUCGACCUCUGCGUCCGCGCCAACCUGAAAAUGUCGGGUCUCAGCCCCUGCUCAAAUAGAUAGACCCUGUGUGCCUCGUCUCUGGCCACAAAUGGCACACAGUUUAGGAGUCGAGUAAACUCCCGAAUGUACUCCUGCACUGGACGAUCCCCCUGCUGAAUCCUCUUCAAAUCCUCCUCGAGCUUCCAUUUCACACUGUUGGGAAAGAACAUCCCAAACAGCAUUCCACAGAACUCAUCCCAUCUUAGCUGCAAUGCUACCAGUCCUUGUUCUCUCCCUACUCUCCUCCACCAGGCGUGGACAUCACCUGCCAAGCAAUGGACUCCCAAAGACACCUGCUCCCCCUCAGGAAUGAACAGAUCCUCAAAUAACUUCUCCAUCGCACUGACCCAUCCUUCAACAACCUAGGCCUCAGUGCAACUGCCAUCGAAAAUCGGUGGAUCAAAACAGCGAAAACGAGCCAACCUCUCCGUCCACCGCUCCCGCUCGGCCUCUGUCAACUAUACUGGCCCCCUAGCAGGCGCCACUGGCUCUACUGGAACUGCUGCUGGCGGAGGGACUGCUGCAGCUGGUGCUGUCACUGGAGUAGUCAGAGGUGGAACAGACGACUCUGGUGCCCUCGGUGCUGAACUCUGCGGCGAGGCUAACCUCUCGCACAUCCUCUCCAACAACUCCCCCUGCCGCCUCGUCACCUCUGUCAGGGCGGCUAUCUGUGCACUCAAAUCCGGGGAUGCACUCGUCUCUGGUCGAACACUCUGCUCCUGCUGGGCACUCGGCUCAGCAUGCUCAGGCAUCUCGGAAGGCCCCGCACGAUCCUGCGACAACUGGGCACGCUCCCGUAACGACGGUCGACCUUGGCGACGAUACAUAGCUGAAAGGAACAGAUCGGGGUCAGAUGAAAUACAAACACUCUCGACCCAAUUAACGAAAGUCUGGAAGGCGGUCCCUGUUUUCCUCUAAAAUUAUGUUGUCUGCAGCGAACAUAAUUUCUCAAGCCAAAACAGGCACUCCUUCAAACACUCACCCCACUCUAGGAGGAGUUAGAACAAUUAAUCAUUGACUUUCGUAAUAAAUUACGCCUCUCGUGUCUUGCCUUUCUAAGGUUUGCCAAACUUAGAUUUUCUAGGUCCCAACGACCUAAUGCUAAGCUCUGAUACCAACUUAAUCUGUCACGCCCCGGAUUACACGUUCCCCGGGCACGUCGACAAAUCCGCCGUAUACAAAGAAAUUUCCCCUAUAUACGAAGCGAUAGCUGUACCUGUAAAUCAUACAAUACUACAAACAGUAGUAUAGAGCUGCUAGAAGAACGAGAAAUAAAACAAACCGAGUUUCAUAUACAUACGCCAAAAUCCAAGAUACAAAACUACUCACACUGGCCAGUUAAAUAUGUAUGUACAUGAACUCCAACAAAAACAACUACCUGCUGUAGGGUCACCUCUAGCUCGGCUCGUCGGGUAGGGCUCUAACUCGCGACGCCCUUGCCUCGAUCCUGAUCAGCAACAGCAGCAGCCGAAGACGAAGGCUCUGCAAAAACGGGGUAACAACAGGGCGUGAGAGCUACUGUAAAACAAGUAGUCCUCAGUGGGUGCCGCCCUCAACAUCAUCAGUCCACCCACUAAGUCUACAGAAGGGAGCAAAGGUAACAAUAAAUGCCGAAAUAAAAUCUACAGCUACCAUUUAUUACUCUAUCAUGCUCUAAGCUAACCUACUGUAGAAAUAUCAAUUCUGACCCAAUCUCUUUAGGGACUGUAAACAUACACGUCCCAGGGACUGUGAACACACCCGUCCCGCCCAGUUGAGACUAUGCAGCUACCUCUACACUAACCAGUCCGUGGAGAGCAAGUCUAACAGGCAUGCACGACACCAACGCAAAAGCACAGCGUCCGCCUCCGGAGUGGCACUCGGGGGAGCUACCUAACCGAGUAUGCAGCGUAUCUCUGUCGAGCUCAAUCAGAUUCUCUCAAGCCAAAGUCCAAGUAACCAACACUAACUGGUCAAACAACUCACAGUCACGUGCCCUCGGAACAAUCCGACGCCAAAAAGGCGAUAGGGGUCCACCAUCAACCCCGGCGGCACCCAACAGUCCGGAACAGUCUGAACGCUAUUGUAAAAAUACACUCAGCAUCUCAGCACGAGCGUAACAGAAAACUAAACUGCCUGCGGUAUCCGUCGCCUCGAUACUGCGAUGAUACAAAAUUACAACGGCUCCUAGAGCUAAAUUAGGUAGUUUAGACAGGUGACAGGUCCAAAACACUGGUUUUCUCUUAAGUCAAAUUCCAAGUCCAACAUGUAUAUUUAUGGUUUGCCAUUCAUAUCCUCAAUGUUGAUUUCAUUCAUGAUACAAUCAACAAAAUGAACUUCAACAUGAUUUAUAAAAUUGAAAAUCAUACAUGUCGACUAAUACUGUGCUUAGAAAUAAACCGAUGUAACCCACCUCAAAAGCUAAACCCUGGCAGUGAAGAAGGUCACCGGAGUCCCUACCAAGCUCGGUGCAACCCAACGAACCAGCGAUAACAACACUCCACGGAUCUAGACAUAGAAACCCAUAAUAAGCAUCAAUUCUGCCCAAAACAAUAGUAGAAGAGUGGAACAGGGUUUCGACCAAGCUAACCUUCACCAAAAUCGACAAUCUUGGGCUUCGUGGAUUCCUCUCGAAGUUCUGAAUACAACGAACCAAGUCUCGCUACAAUUCGACGCUCCUACGUCGCGUACGAGCCGAAACGCCAACGGUCGACGCAGGAAAUCUGCAAAACAGCAUCCUUGAGCUCGGAAAUGAUGAAGACUUGCCAUGGUUGGAGGAAUUGAUGAACAUCUCACCUCAACAGCGACUCUAGCACCGGCGCGACGUCGAGAACGACGAAAACGCACCCUCGUCCGACCUCCUCGCGAUGCUACGGCAACAAACGCGUGCUCGAACGGCUCCGCGGCACGACGUCGGUGACGAAAUACUCUACCCGAGCUCCUCCACGAUCGGUCGAGUA
This 9350-nucleotide long non-coding RNA is filed under the name Ananas comosus (pineapple). RNAcentral describes it as "long non-coding RNA (ACOM_LNC031612)". The record is from RNAcentral. Lineage: Eukaryota; Viridiplantae; Streptophyta; Magnoliopsida; Poales; Bromeliaceae.